CUUUUCUUGUUAGUUUUUGAAGUAUGGCCUGCCCGCUGACAUUUGGUGUUGAAGGGCCGCGGUAUUUUGACCGUGCAAAGGUAGCAUAAUCAUUAGUUCUUUAAUUGUGAUCUGGAAUGAAUGGCUUGACGAGGCACGGGCUGUCUUAGUGUUGAAUGUUUUAUUGAAUUUGGUCUUUGAGUUAAAAUUCUUAGAUGUUUUUGUGGGACGAGAAGACCCUAUAGAGUUUGACAUUUGGUUUAUUUACUUGUUUGUUGUUUGUUUAUUUUUGGUGAGUGGGCUUUUUGUUUUGUUGGGGUGAUGGGAGGAAUGUACUUAACUCCUCUUAGUUUUGGUUAUAUUGAUUUAUAAUUGUUUGAUCCAUUUAUUUUGAUUGUAAGACUAAAUUACC
RNAcentral lists this ribosomal RNA (391 nucleotides) under Coptotermes gestroi. Its description in RNAcentral is "partial 16S ribosomal RNA". Lineage: Eukaryota; Metazoa; Arthropoda; Insecta; Blattodea; Rhinotermitidae. The record is from RNAcentral.